AUUGGAGAAAGAAACUUUUACUAGGAGCUAUAGAGAAAAGUACCGUAAAGGAAAGAUGAAAGACACAUUAAAAGCAUAAAUAAGCAAAGAUUAAACCNUGUACCUUUUGCAUAAUGAGUUAACUAGAAAUAACCUAACUAAGAGAACUUUAGCUAGAAACCCCGAAACCAAAUGAACUACCUAAAAGCAAUUUUAAGAAUGAACCCGUCUAUGUAGCAAAAUAGUGGGAUGACUUUUAGGUAGAGGCGAAAAACCUAGCGAACUUGGUGAUAGCUGGUUACCCAACAAUGAAUUUUAGUUCAACUUUAAGUUUACCAUAUAAAUCCAAAUCUAAAUGUAAACUUCAAAUAUAGCCUAAAGAGGGACAGCUCUUUAGGAAUGGAAGCAACCUUUAAUAGGGAAGAAGCCUAUAACACUUAAAUCAUUGUUAGCUUAAAAGCAGCCAUUAAUAAAGAAAGUGUUCAAGCUCAACACUUAAAAUACCACAAUACUAAUAAUUUAAGGCAACUUCCUAUAGUCAUAAUCUGAUAAUCUAUUAAUAUAUAGAUGAAAUACUGUUAAUAUGAGUAACAAGAAUUUUAUUCUCCAGGUAUAAGCCUAUAACAACUCGGAUAACCAUUGUUAGUUAACAACUAUAUAGAUAAUUACUCUACAUAUAAAAUAUAUCUACCACAACAUGUUAACCCAACACAGGAGUGCAUAAUGGAAAGAUUAAAAGAAAUAAAAGGAACUCGGCAAACACGAUCCCCGCCUGUUAAACAAAAUCAUCACCUCUAGCAUAUUAAGUAUUAGAAAUACUGCCUGCCCAUUGACUAACGUUAAAUGACCGCGGUAUCCUGACGGUGCAAAGGUAGCAUAGUCACUUGUUCCUUAAUUAGGGACUGAAAUGAAUGGCUUAACGAGGGUUCACCUGUCUUGUAUUUCUUUCUUUCUUUUUUUUUUUUUGAACAUUAGUGUUUCGCCUGCAUGCAUGUCUGUGUGAGGGGGUUGGGACCCUGGAACUGGAGUUACAGUUGUGAGGUACCAUGUGGGUACUGGGAAUUGGACCUGGGUCCUUUGGAAGAGCAGUCGGUGCUCUUAACCUCAGAGCCAUCUCUCCAGCCCUGUCUCUUAUUUCUACUCAGUGAAACUGACCUUCCCGUGAAGAGGCGGGAAAGACCCUAUGACGCUUUAACUUACUAGCUUAAUUUUAUACAAAUUCACCUAUUGGUCUAACACCUAAAAAUAUAAACUAGUAAUUUUGGUUGGGGUGACCUCGGAGCAUAAAAAACCUCUAAAUGAUUUUAACCUAGACACACAAGUCUAAGUAAUCAUAAUCUUAUUGACCCAAAACUUUUUGAUCAACGAACCAAGUUACCCUACGGAUAAGAGCGCAGUCCUAUUCAAGAGUCCGUAUCGACAAUUAGGAUUUACGACCUCGAUGUUGGAUCAGGACAUCCCAAUGAUGUAGAAGCUAUUAAUGGUUCAUUUGUUCAACGAUUAAAGUCCUACGUGAUCUGAGUUCAGAUGGAAGCAAUCCAGGUUGGUUUCUAUCUAAUUUACGAUUUCUCCCAGUACGAAAGGAUAAGAGAAAUGGAGCCUCCUUACAUGAAGUGCUCCGAAAUUAAUCUUUGAAAUUAUCUCAACUUUGUAAAUUCGGACCACAACUACCCUAGACAAGGGUAAAAUUAGGGUGGCAGAGUCAGGAAAUUGCGUAAGGCUUAAAACCUAGUUCCCAGAGGUUCAAAUCC
RNAcentral lists this ribosomal RNA (1730 nucleotides) under Neotoma lepida (desert woodrat). RNAcentral describes it as "Bacterial large subunit ribosomal RNA". It matches the Rfam family "Bacterial large subunit ribosomal RNA", at positions 455 to 2925 of the family's 2925-position model. Lineage: Eukaryota; Metazoa; Chordata; Mammalia; Rodentia; Cricetidae. The record is from Rfam by way of RNAcentral.